CACGGCGCACGGGGGCGUAACACGUGGGCAAUCUGCCCUCCGAUGGGGAAUAACCCCGCGAAAGCGGGGCUAAUUCCGCAUAACAUUCCUUGGACCAACGUCCGAGGAUUCAAAGCAGCAAUGCGUCGGAGGAGGAGCCCGCGCCCGAUUAGCUAGUUGGUGAGGUAACGGCUCACCAAGGCAAUGAUCGGUAGCUGGUCUGAGAGGAUGGCCAGCCACACUGGAACUGAGACACGGUCCAGACUCCUACGGGAGGCAGCAGUGGGGAAUCUUGCACAAUGGGCGAAAGCCUGAUGCAGCGACGCCGCGUGGGGGAUGAAGCUUCUCGGAGUGUAAACCCCUUUCGACUGGGACGAAUGCCUCGCAAGAGGAGUGACGGUACCAGUAUAAGAAGCCCCGGCUAACUACGUGCCAGCAGCCGCGGUAAGACGUAGGGGGCCAGCGUUGUUCAGAAUUACUGGGUGUAAAGGGUUCGUAGGCGGUGUGGCAAGUUGGGAGUGAAAUCUCUGGGCUCAACCCAGAGGCUGCUUCCAA
This 534-nucleotide ribosomal RNA is filed under the name uncultured bacterium. Its description in RNAcentral is "bacterial SSU rRNA". It matches the Rfam family "Bacterial small subunit ribosomal RNA", at positions 94 to 630 of the family's 1533-position model. The record is from RNAcentral.